UACGGAGGAGGCAAGCGUUGUUCGGAAUCACUGGGCUUAAAGCGGGUGUAGGCGGGGUGGCAGGUGUCCUGUGAAAGCCCUCGGCUCAACCGAGGAACUGCAGGGCAAACCUUCACUCUUGAGGCAGGUAGGGGCAAGUGGAACCAUGGGUGGAGCGGUGAAAUGCGUAGAUAUCCAUGGGAACGCCGGUGGCGAAAGCGACUUGCUGGGCCUGACCUGACGCUGAGACCCGAAAGCGUGGGUAGCAAACAGGAUUAGAUACCCCCGUA
This 269-nucleotide ribosomal RNA is filed under the name uncultured prokaryote. RNAcentral's name for it is "partial 16S ribosomal RNA". It matches the Rfam family "Bacterial small subunit ribosomal RNA", at positions 524 to 792 of the family's 1533-position model. The record is from RNAcentral.